RNAcentral lists this ribosomal RNA (245 nucleotides) under uncultured bacterium. RNAcentral describes it as "partial 16S ribosomal RNA". It matches the Rfam family "Bacterial small subunit ribosomal RNA", at positions 528 to 772 of the family's 1533-position model. The record is from RNAcentral.
UAGGGAGCGAGCGUUGUCCGGAUUUACUGGGUGUAAAGGGCGUGUAGCCGGGCUGACAAGUCAGAUGUGACAUCCCGCGGCUUAACCGCGGAACUGCAUUUGAAACUGUCGGUCUUGAGUAUCGGAGAGGCAGGCGGAAUUCCUAGUGUAGCGGUGAAAUGCGUAGAUAUUAGGAGGAACACCAGUGGCGAAGGCGGCCUGCUGGACGACAACUGACGGUGAGGCGCGAAAGCGUGGGGAGCAAA